This 1530-nucleotide ribosomal RNA is filed under the name Salmonella enterica subsp. enterica serovar Havana. Its description in RNAcentral is "bacterial SSU rRNA". It matches the Rfam family "Bacterial small subunit ribosomal RNA". Lineage: Bacteria; Pseudomonadati; Pseudomonadota; Gammaproteobacteria; Enterobacterales; Enterobacteriaceae. The record is from RNAcentral.
AGAGUUUGAUCAUGGCUCAGAUUGAACGCUGGCGGCAGGCCUAACACAUGCAAGUCGAACGGUAACAGGAAGCAGCUUGCUGCUUCGCUGACGAGUGGCGGACGGGUGAGUAAUGUCUGGGAAACUGCCUGAUGGAGGGGGAUAACUACUGGAAACGGUGGCUAAUACCGCAUAACGUCGCAAGACCAAAGAGGGGGACCUUCGGGCCUCUUGCCAUCAGAUGUGCCCAGAUGGGAUUAGCUUGUUGGUGAGGUAAUGGCUCACCAAGGCGACGAUCCCUAGCUGGUCUGAGAGGAUGACCAGCCACACUGGAACUGAGACACGGUCCAGACUCCUACGGGAGGCAGCAGUGGGGAAUAUUGCACAAUGGGCGCAAGCCUGAUGCAGCCAUGCCGCGUGUAUGAAGAAGGCCUUCGGGUUGUAAAGUACUUUCAGCGGGGAGGAAGGUGUUGUGGUUAAUAACCGCAGCAAUUGACGUUACCCGCAGAAGAAGCACCGGCUAACUCCGUGCCAGCAGCCGCGGUAAUACGGAGGGUGCAAGCGUUAAUCGGAAUUACUGGGCGUAAAGCGCACGCAGGCGGUCUGUCAAGUCGGAUGUGAAAUCCCCGGGCUCAACCUGGGAACUGCAUUCGAAACUGGCAGGCUUGAGUCUUGUAGAGGGGGGUAGAAUUCCAGGUGUAGCGGUGAAAUGCGUAGAGAUCUGGAGGAAUACCGGUGGCGAAGGCGGCCCCCUGGACAAAGACUGACGCUCAGGUGCGAAAGCGUGGGGAGCAAACAGGAUUAGAUACCCUGGUAGUCCACGCCGUAAACGAUGUCUACUUGGAGGUUGUGCCCUUGAGGCGUGGCUUCCGGAGCUAACGCGUUAAGUAGACCGCCUGGGGAGUACGGCCGCAAGGUUAAAACUCAAAUGAAUUGACGGGGGCCCGCACAAGCGGUGGAGCAUGUGGUUUAAUUCGAUGCAACGCGAAGAACCUUACCUGGUCUUGACAUCCACGGAAGUUUUCAGAGAUGAGAAUGUGCCUUCGGGAACCGUGAGACAGGUGCUGCAUGGCUGUCGUCAGCUCGUGUUGUGAAAUGUUGGGUUAAGUCCCGCAACGAGCGCAACCCUUAUCCUUUGUUGCCAGCGGUCCGGCCGGGAACUCAAAGGAGACUGCCAGUGAUAAACUGGAGGAAGGUGGGGAUGACGUCAAGUCAUCAUGGCCCUUACGACCAGGGCUACACACGUGCUACAAUGGCGCAUACAAAGAGAAGCGACCUCGCGAGAGCAAGCGGACCUCAUAAAGUGCGUCGUAGUCCGGAUUGGAGUCUGCAACUCGACUCCAUGAAGUCGGAAUCGCUAGUAAUCGUGGAUCAGAAUGCCACGGUGAAUACGUUCCCGGGCCUUGUACACACCGCCCGUCACACCAUGGGAGUGGGUUGCAAAAGAAGUAGGUAGCUUAACCUUCGGGAGGGCGCUUACCACUUUGUGAUUCAUGACUGGGGUGAAGUCGUAACAAGGUAACCGUAGGGGAACCUGCGGUUGGAUCACCU